This 460-nucleotide ribosomal RNA is filed under the name uncultured bacterium. RNAcentral describes it as "partial 16S ribosomal RNA". It matches the Rfam family "Bacterial small subunit ribosomal RNA", at positions 338 to 795 of the family's 1533-position model. The record is from RNAcentral.
CCUACGGGAGGCAGCAGUGAGGAAUAUUGGUCAAUGGACGAGAGUCUGAACCAGCCAAGUAGCGUGAAGGAUGACUGCCCUAUGGGUUGUAAACUUCUUUUAUAUGGGAAUAAAACGUUCCACGUGUGGGAUUUUGUAUGUACCAUAUGAAUAAGGAUCGGCUAACUCCGUGCCAGCAGCCGCGGUAAUACGGAGGAUCCGAGCGUUAUCCGGAUUUAUUGGGUUUAAAGGGAGCGUAGGUGGAUUGUUAAGUCAGUUGUGAAAGUUUGCGGCUCAACCGUAAAAUUGCAGUUGAAACUGGCAGUCUUGAGUACAGUAGAGGUGGGCGGAAUUCGUGGUGUAGCGGUGAAAUGCUUAGAUAUCACGAAGAACUCCGAUUGCGAAGGCAGUUCACUGGACUGCAACUGACACUGAGGCUCGAAAGUGUGGGUAUCAAACAGGAUUAGAUACCCGAGUAGAC